This 72-nucleotide transfer RNA is filed under the name Gracilaria usneoides. RNAcentral's name for it is "tRNA-Asn". It matches the Rfam family "tRNA". Rfam says of the family: Transfer RNA (tRNA) molecules are approximately 80 nucleotides in length. Their secondary structure includes four short double-helical elements and three loops (D, anti-codon, and T loops). Further hydrogen bonds mediate the characteristic L-shaped molecular structure. tRNAs have two regions of fundamental functional importance: the anti-codon, which is responsible for specific mRNA codon recognition, and the 3' end, to which the tRNAs corresponding amino acid is attached (by aminoacyl-tRNA synthetases). tRNAs cope with the degeneracy of the genetic code in two manners: having more than one tRNA (with a specific anti-codon) for a particular amino acid; and 'wobble' base-pairing, i.e. permitting non-standard base-pairing at the 3rd anti-codon position. The record is from RNAcentral. Lineage: Eukaryota; Rhodophyta; Florideophyceae; Gracilariales; Gracilariaceae.
UUCCUGAUAGCUCAAAGGCAGAGCAUAUGGCUGUUAACCAUUUGGUUGUAGGUUCAAGUCCUACUCAGGAAG